GGCACGAACUUGUUGCGAGGUGCCCCACCGGCGACGGCGGGGAGAAUCUGGGAAGCCGGUGUGAAUCCGGCACGGGCCCGCCGCGGUGACCGGGGAGCCGCCGCCCACGCGCGUGAGCGCAGCCACUGGCCGGCCGGCCGGGAAGGCGGGCGGUGAGGCGUCGAUCCGGGAGUCCGAAGACCGGCCUCGCGCCCAUCGGCCCC
RNAcentral lists this non-coding RNA (203 nucleotides) under Actinoplanes sp. Lineage: Bacteria; Bacillati; Actinomycetota; Actinomycetes; Micromonosporales; Micromonosporaceae. The record is from RNAcentral. RNAcentral also lists the same sequence under 1 other name.